This 593-nucleotide small RNA is filed under the name Diaporthe tectonae. Its description in RNAcentral is "eukaryotic LSU rRNA". The stretch from base 233 to 386 matches the Rfam family "5.8S ribosomal RNA". Lineage: Eukaryota; Fungi; Ascomycota; Sordariomycetes; Diaporthales; Diaporthaceae. The record is from RNAcentral.
GGAAGUAAAAGUCGUAACAAGGUCUCCGUUGGUGAACCAGCGGAGGGAUCAUUGCUGGAACGCGCUUCGGCGCACCCAGAAACCCUUUGUGAACUUAUACCUAAACUGUUGCCUCGGCGCUGGCCGGCCUCCUCACCGAGGCCCCCUGGAGACAGGGAGCAGCCCGCCGGCGGCCAAACAAACUCUUGUUUCUUAGUGAAUCUYUGAGUAAAAAAAAAACAUAAUGAAUCAAAACUUUCAACAACGGAUCUCUUGGUUCUGGCAUCGAUGAAGAACGCAGCGAAAUGCGAUAAGUAAUGUGAAUUGCARAAUUCAGUGAAUCAUCGAAUCUUUGAACGCACAUUGCGCCCUCUGGUAUUCCGGAGGGCAUGCCUGUUCGAGCGUCAUUUCAACCCUCAAGCCUGGCUUGGUGUUGGGGCACCGCCUUUGCAAAAGGGCGGGCCCUGAAAUCUAGUGGCGAGCUCGCCAGGACCCCGAGCGUAGUAGUUAUAUCUCGUUCUGGAAGGCCCUGGCGGUGCCCUGCCGUUAAACCCCCAACUUCUGAAAUUUUGACCUCGGAUCAGGUAGGAAUACCCGCUGAACUUAAGCAUAUC